ACGCUCGACACCUACGGGAGCAGCAGUUGGGAAUAUUGGACAAUGGAGGAAACUCUGAUCCAGUGACGCCGCGUGAAGGAAGAAGGUCUUCGGAUUGUAAACUUAUUUUGUCAGGGAAGAAAAAUGACUGUACCUGAAGAAAAAGCACCGGCUAACUACGUGCCGGCAGCCGCGGUAAUCUGAGCGGGCUGGCAAGGC
RNAcentral lists this ribosomal RNA (198 nucleotides) under uncultured bacterium. RNAcentral describes it as "partial 16S ribosomal RNA". It matches the Rfam family "Bacterial small subunit ribosomal RNA", at positions 328 to 539 of the family's 1533-position model. The record is from RNAcentral.